AGGCUUUGAUCCUGGCUCAGAUUGAACGCUGGCGGCAUGCUUUACACAUGCAAGUCGAACGGUAACAGGUCUUCGGAUGCUGACGAGUGGCGAACGGGUGAGUAAUGCAUCGGAACGUGCCCAGUCGUGGGGGAUAACGCAGCGAAAGCUGUGCUAAUACCGCAUACGAUCUGCGGAUGAAAGCGGGGGACCUUCGGGCCUCGCGCGAUUGGAGCGGCCGAUGUCAGAUUAGGUAGUUGGUGGGGUAAAGGCUCACCAAGCCAACGAUCUGUAGCUGGUCUGAGAGGACGACCGGCCACACUGGGACUGAGACACGGCCCAGACUCCUACGGGAGGCAGCAGUGGGGAAUUUUGGACAAUGGGCGCAAGCCUGAUCCAGCAAUGCCGCGUGCAGGAAGAAGGCCUUCGGGUUGUAAACUGCUUUUGUACGGAACGAAAAGCUCUGGGUUAAUACCCUGGGGUCAUGACGGUACCGUAAGAAUAAGCACCGGCGU
This 494-nucleotide ribosomal RNA is filed under the name uncultured Comamonadaceae bacterium. Its description in RNAcentral is "bacterial SSU rRNA". It matches the Rfam family "Bacterial small subunit ribosomal RNA", at positions 8 to 499 of the family's 1533-position model. Lineage: Bacteria; Pseudomonadati; Pseudomonadota; Betaproteobacteria; Burkholderiales; Comamonadaceae. The record is from RNAcentral.